Chinchilla lanigera (long-tailed chinchilla) is the source of this 1426-nucleotide long non-coding RNA. RefSeq lists it as uncharacterized. Lineage: Eukaryota; Metazoa; Chordata; Mammalia; Rodentia; Chinchillidae. The record is from RefSeq and is a predicted model, not a curated record. The transcript is spliced from 3 exons.
CUUACAACUACUUCCCCAAGGCUGGCCAUGGAAAAAGAUUUUGUUUUCCCUAAGACAGGUCACAGAAACACUAAAAAAUUCAUCAUAAGGAAUUGGUUGACAUAUCCAUGGACAGGAGGUCCUAAGAACCUAUCAUCCAGAGGACUCCUGUCCCAUACACUAAAGGAAGGGAGGACAAAGAGUCUGAGCAGAAAGUCUUUGGUUGGUUUCCCCACUAAGUCUACUAUCACUCAUGGAUAAGCAAUUAAGUCUCUUAAAAAAACUGAAGAAGACAUGGUCUGGGGGCCAAUAGAUACACAACCAUUUGCGAGUUUCCAGAGGAUGGCACCCCAGGAGAUGGUCUGGAAACUCUGCACCCCUUCACGUACCUCAGCCAGUGCAUCUCUGUGUCUAUAUUUUUAAAAUGUUCUUUAAAAUCAGCCAGUAAAUGUAUUUCUAUAAAUACUUUUAAAUACAAAUAAAUUCUAUUAGCCAUUCCAGCAAAUUCAAAGCCAAGGAGGAGACUGAGACAUUUAAUUUAUAAUUAGUUAACCAACCGGUCAUUAGUUAACCAACAGGUCAAACAACGCAGGGCUUGUUGUUGAUAUCAAAAAUAAGGAGCUGAAGAACAGUCUUGCGACUGACCCUGCAGAUGGGAAGAUUUCAUGCAUUUGCAGGCUAUUGAAAGACUUUUUACUGGGGAGACUACACUAGAGUGUUGAUUUAUUGUACUUUACUCAAUAAAGCUGCACAAAGUCCUCAACCUACUGAUCUUAUCCAAUGCAAUGGAAGCAUGUGGACAGGGAAGUUGGUGAUUCAAGAGGACAGGAGGGCCAAAUACAAAUGUUCUCAAAGAACCAAGAUGUCUGCAGCUGAUGUCGUCUUUACCUGGACAGUCACAGCAUCCUGGGACCAUUGAGGUCUCAACUGUAACCAGAAGCACAAGGAGUUAUAUUUCCAUAUAAGAUAGGGGGCUCCCAUGGCAAGAUACUAGGCCUCAGACAAGCCCUAAUCACAAUUUAACUGUGAAAUGAUUUUUCUCCAAAAUAUAUAGAAUAGCCCUCGAUACUGAAGAAAUUGAGGAAUGAUACAGGCAGAUAUUUAGGAGGAGGAAACUCUAGUGGAAGACUAAGGAAAAUACAAAUAACACUAAGUAAAUGUAUUUCCAAUGUGACUAAGAAAAAAAAACAGGGCAAAAACCACACCAGACCAGACCAGACCAGACCAGAGCAGACGAAGCCAAACUACUGUUAGGCUUUGACCAUGUAAAUUAAGAAUUCCAAAUUUGUUAGCAAAAUGUAUCAGCAAAUUCCUAAGUCUCAAAUGCCAAGGGUUUCAGUAUUUUUAAUGUUAAAAUUGUUAUGUGCUUUCAGAGGUUAUUUAUGGGAUCAUUGUUACGUAGGUAGAGACUACAUGGUUUGUUGAGUAAUUGAGUGAAUUAAUAAAU